RNAcentral lists this long non-coding RNA (1076 nucleotides) under Equus caballus (horse). Its description in RNAcentral is "lncRNA (ENSECAG00000033297.2)". Lineage: Eukaryota; Metazoa; Chordata; Mammalia; Perissodactyla; Equidae. The record is from RNAcentral.
UGCCCACAAAGCUGAGGGAAAGGGGAGCCCAUUCAAGUUAAGGAGACGCCAAUCAGGCGAAUGGGAUGGGGCUUGACAAGAUUCUCAGAACGUGGUUGAAGGGUCUGCAAGACCCUUGAGUCUUAUUGAUGAAAGAAUAAAAUCCAUGGGACCUUAACUGGAGGGCCCAAACGUCACUAUAUCCAUGAAAACCGAGCCUUCCACGGAUCUUGGAGAGAAGUGAUUCAGGUGAUAAUCGUGUGAAAUCAACGUCUGAAGGCCAGAAGUUCAAAAUCAAGGUGUCGGCAGGGCUGCGUUACCACUAGAGGCUCCAGAGGAGAAGUCAUUCUUCGCUUCUUCCAGCUUCUGGUGAAUGAUUUCCCUAACGGCUCUACUGUCCCCUGUGCAAAUCAUGGCUUUUCGUUUUUGUGCCACAUCUACCAAAUAUUUGGGGAUGGAGUGAGAGUCAAGUGGUGGCGGAGAGGAUGGGGGAAGAGCCUUUCUAAUAUCUCGGAAGAAGAAAAUAGUUUUUGCACAAAAUGCAUGUGCGUGAAAACAACCCUGUAGAUGGAGCAGAAUGGUGGAGGGUGAUGAAAUGGAGAAUAUUCCAGCCUGGGCAGGAGAACCACAGAUAGACCACGUAGUCAGGAGAAGAGUAAGCAGUGAUGCUGGUGGGGAUAUGAAUGAGGAAGCGGAAGGCAUAGAAACUGUCCACAGUUCCUAGGAAGAUUCCAGGUCAAAGUGCUUCCUGUUCUUUGGCCCAAGAGCCAUAUCCACUUACAAAUGGAAUCUUGAUUAAUUUUCCAUUUGUACUUGGGGCAUUUCCCUAAGCUCUUUGACUAUUCAUGCCCCACUGUUAGCGAAUGCCUCCAGGAGCCCUGAACUCAAAGAUCUUCUCCUAGGGAGGCCUGCCCUGACACCCACACCAGGAAGACGCCCUGCGAGCGACUCUGAUGGCACCAUCUAUCUCUUCUCCCUAACACUCUCCCCAUCUGGAUGCUGUAAAGAUGACAUGAGCUAUAGCUGUAAAGCAUGGAGAAGAGGGCCUGGCACAUGAUCAACACAGAAUAAAGGUGAGCAAUGUUUAUUCAUACCAG